This 167-nucleotide ribosomal RNA is filed under the name Sineleotris saccharae. Its description in RNAcentral is "partial 12S ribosomal RNA". Lineage: Eukaryota; Metazoa; Chordata; Actinopteri; Gobiiformes; Odontobutidae. The record is from RNAcentral.
CACCGCGGUUAUACGAGAGGCUCAAGUUGAUAGACACCGGCGUAAAAGGUGGUUAGGAAACAACAUAACUAAAGCCGAACAUCUUCGAAGCUGUCAUACGCACACGAAGACACGAAGCACUUCCACGAAAGUGGCUUUAAACCUCCGAACCCACGAAAGCUAAGACA